GACGAACGCUGGCGGCGUGCUUAACACAUGCGAGUCGAACGCUGAAUCACCAGCUUGCUGGUGUGGAUGAGUGGCGAACGGGUGAGUAAUACGUGAGUAACCUGCCCUUUACUCUGGGAUAAGCCCUGGAAACUGGGUCUAAUACUGGAUGCUACAUGUCUCCGCAUGGUGGUGUGUGGAAAGGGUUUAUUGGUCUUGUAUUGGCUCACGGUCUAUCAGCUUGUUGGUGAGGUGAUCGUUCACCAAGGCGACCACGGCUAGCCGCGCUGAGAGGCUGACCGGCCAUACUGGGCCCUAGAAACGGCCGAGACCCGGCCGGGAGGCAGAAGUGGGGAAUAUUGCACCAUGAGCGAAGGCCUGAUGCAGCGACGACGCGGGAGGGAUGAAGGCCUUGGGGUUGUAAACCUUGUUCAGCAGGGACGAAGCCACUAGUGACGGUACCUGCAGAAGAAGCGCCGGCUAACUACGUG
This 470-nucleotide ribosomal RNA is filed under the name uncultured bacterium. RNAcentral describes it as "partial 16S ribosomal RNA". It matches the Rfam family "Bacterial small subunit ribosomal RNA", at positions 28 to 507 of the family's 1533-position model. The record is from RNAcentral.